AUCCGCGCUCGCUCAGUUUCUGCCUGGAAGUUGCCGCGGGGGAAAAGAGCUAUGAUGGUGGCGCCAUCUGGUGUGAUGCCUUGCAACUAAGUGGCCACCUGUCGUCAAUCUCUGCAACUGCUGGGUGCAAACUACCAACAUGGCGGGCGCUGGUCACUCGGGUGUUGCGGAGCGGCUUCUUCGCCGCGGCAUCGUUGAUUUUCGAAUAAAUUGUUUCUCUCCA
Ornithodoros turicata is the source of this 223-nucleotide long non-coding RNA. RefSeq lists it as uncharacterized. The record is from RefSeq and is a predicted model, not a curated record. The transcript is spliced from 2 exons. NCBI's taxonomy places the organism in Eukaryota, Metazoa, Arthropoda, Arachnida, Ixodida, Argasidae.